AUUGAACGCUGGCGGCAGGCCUAACACAUGCAAGUCGGACGGUAGCACAGAGGAGCUUGCUCCUUGGGUGACGAGUGGCGGACGGGUGAGUAAUGUCUGGGGAUCUGCCCGAUAGAGGGGGAUAACCACUGGAAACGGUGGCUAAUACCGCAUAACGUCGCAAGACCAAAGAGGGGGACCUUCGGGCCUCUCACUAUCGGAUGAACCCAGAUGGGAUUAGCUAGUAGGCGGGGUAAUGGCCCACCUAGGCGACGAUCCCUAGCUGGUCUGAGAGGAUGACCAGCCAACCUGGAACUGAGACACGGCCCAACCUCCUACGGAGGGCAGCAGUGGGGAAUAUUGCACACUGGGCGCAAGCCUGAUCAAGCCAUGCCGCGUGUAUAAAGAAGGCCUUCGGGUUGUAAAGUACUUUCAGCGGGGAGGAAGGCGAUGCGGUUAAUACCCGCAUCGAUUGACGUUACCCGCAGAAGAAGCCCCGGCUAACUCCGUGCCAGCAGCCGCCGUAA
Molecule: ribosomal RNA, 506 nt
Filed under: uncultured bacterium
Lineage: Bacteria
Description: partial 16S ribosomal RNA
Rfam family: Bacterial small subunit ribosomal RNA
Source: RNAcentral